CUUAAAAAACCUUUCUGCUAGUAAAUCAAAAAAAGUCUUACAAGUCAAAGACACUUCAUCUGACUAUUUUAUAUAUUUAUAUGCUUUAUAUACACAUUGCUGCUGUGCUUGGAGUAUAAAGUCACCUUUUGAUUAUAUCGAACGGGCAGUUUCUCAACUGGCUCAAAUGCUAGGGGCAGAUGUUACAUCAUGAUGACUGUGCGAAAUGCAUGGUGAAUAUGCAAUACUAUGGAUAACAGCUGAAUGUCUACCUGAAAAUACAGUCUCUGUAUGGAGGGCCUGGCCAAAAGUAGCCGACUCAACAGACAAGGCUCUAGAGUAAGGCGCCAUCGGAGCCAGGAAUGGCAGGACUAU
Molecule: long non-coding RNA, 354 nt
Organism: Uloborus diversus
Lineage: Eukaryota; Metazoa; Arthropoda; Arachnida; Araneae; Uloboridae
Exons: 3
Source: RefSeq, a predicted model, not a curated record